UCUGGAGGACAGGUGCUGCAUGGCUGUCGUCAGCUCGUGUCGUGAGAUGUUGGGUUAAGUCCCGCAACGAGCGCAACCCUUGCCUUUAGUUGCCAGCAGUUCGGCUGGCACUCUAAAGGGACUGCCGGUGUUAAACCGGAGGAAGGUGGGGAUGACGUCAAGUCCUCAUGGCCUUUAUGACCAGGGCUACACACGUACUACAAUGGCCGAUACAAAGGGCAGCGACACUGCGAGGUGAAGCCAAUCCCGUAAAAUCGGUCUCAGUCCGGAUUGGAGUCUGCAACUCGACUCCAUGAAGUUGGAAUCGCUAGUAAUCGUGGAUCAGCAUGCCACGGUGAAUACGUUCCCGGGCCUU
This 355-nucleotide ribosomal RNA is filed under the name uncultured Desulfobulbus sp. Its description in RNAcentral is "bacterial SSU rRNA". It matches the Rfam family "Bacterial small subunit ribosomal RNA", at positions 1026 to 1382 of the family's 1533-position model. The record is from RNAcentral. Lineage: Bacteria; Pseudomonadati; Thermodesulfobacteriota; Desulfobulbia; Desulfobulbales; Desulfobulbaceae.